Molecule: non-coding RNA, 218 nt
Organism: Pelobates cultripes (western spadefoot toad)
Lineage: Eukaryota; Metazoa; Chordata; Amphibia; Anura; Pelobatidae
Source: the annotation of a GenBank genome assembly
GGCCAUUGCCAGCGGGGGAGGAGCGUGGGUGGAGCCUGACCCAAUGCAGAGGAACAUCGGCGCUGGAUUCAGGUAAGUGACUGAAGGAGUUUUAACUGCUUCAGCACCGUGGGGGAGGAGGGUGAAUGGGUGCAAGGGAGUGGGGCACAUCACCUAAAGUGCCAGGAAAACGGGUUUAUUUUUCUUGCAUUAUAGAAUCCCUUUAAGGAACAAGGGGG